Chelonoidis abingdonii (Abingdon island giant tortoise) is the source of this 357-nucleotide non-coding RNA. NCBI's taxonomy places the organism in Eukaryota, Metazoa, Chordata, Testudines, Testudinidae. The record is from RefSeq and is a predicted model, not a curated record.
ACAUCACAACCAUCUAAUGCUGGGUUUUUUUCCUUCAAAGGAUCAAUAAUGCUCACAUUUAUUAACAAUCCUGUAAACUGGCAAUGCAAAUUAAGUCAAUAUAUUUGAGCACAGAAAUAAAGAACACUAACUGAACAGAGGCUUCAUUUUUCAGUUAUAAUAUUCCAAAGAGUCUAUUCAAGUUAUCUGUCAAGACUGCAAUCGGGUUUUGUUUUGUUUUUGGGGGUGCAGGGGAGAGAGGGGAGAACAAGAAGAUUCCACACUCCAAAAUGGGUCAGUGGUGGUUUUUGUAGCAAUGCGUAUUUCAGGUCUUGGGGAAGGAGAGACACACGUCAUUAGAGUUCCCAGAUCAGAAGA